This 253-nucleotide ribosomal RNA is filed under the name uncultured bacterium. RNAcentral's name for it is "partial 16S ribosomal RNA". It matches the Rfam family "Bacterial small subunit ribosomal RNA", at positions 524 to 776 of the family's 1533-position model. The record is from RNAcentral.
UACGUAGGGGGCAAGCGUUAUCCGGAUUUACUGGGUGUAAAGGGAGCGUAGACGGCAAUGCAAGUCUGAAGUGAAAGCCCGGGGCUCAACCCCGGGACUGCUUUGGAAACUGUAUGGCUGGAGUGCUGGAGAGGCAAGCGGAAUUCCUAGUGUAGCGGUGAAAUGCGUAGAUAUUAGGAAGAACACCAGUGGCGAAGGCGGCUUGCUGGACAGUAACUGACGUUGAGGCUCGAAAGCGUGGGGAGCAAACAGG